GACGAACGCUGGCGGCGUGCCUAAUACAUGCAAGUCGAGCGCUGAAGGUUGGUACUUGUACCAACUGGAUGAGCAGCGAACGGGUGAGUAACGCGUGGGUAAUCUGCCUUUUAGCGGGGGACAACAUUUGGAAACGAAUGCUAAUACCGCAUAAAAACUUUAAACACAAGUUUUAAGUUUGAAAGGUGCAAUUGCAUCACUCAAAGAUGAUCCCGCGUUGUAUUAGCUAGUUGGUGAGGUAAAGGCCCACCAAGGCGAUGAUACAUAGCCGACCUGAGAGGGUGAUCGGCCACAUUUGGACUGAGAAAAGGCCCAAACUCCUUCGGGAAGCAGCAGUAGGGAAUCUUCGGCAAUGGAGGGAAGGCUGAACGAGCAAAGCCGCGGGAGUGAAGGAGGUUUUCGGAUCGUAAAACUCUGUUUGUUGAGAAGAACGUUGGUGAGAGUGAAAAGCUCAUCAAGUGACGGUACCUAACCAGAAAGGGACGGCUAACUACGUG
Molecule: ribosomal RNA, 497 nt
Filed under: uncultured bacterium
Lineage: Bacteria
Description: partial 16S ribosomal RNA
Rfam family: Bacterial small subunit ribosomal RNA
Source: RNAcentral